This 332-nucleotide long non-coding RNA is filed under the name Taeniopygia guttata (zebra finch). RNAcentral describes it as "lncRNA (ENSTGUG00000024969.1)". The record is from RNAcentral. Lineage: Eukaryota; Metazoa; Chordata; Aves; Passeriformes; Estrildidae.
GGAAGGCUGCUCCCUUAAUGCUGAUCCCUCUGCUGUAGGGAAUGGGCCUGUCUGCUGACCUCUUGUCUGGGGCAACUGAAGUGAUACGCGGAAUAAAUAAAUAGACUCCACAACUCGAUGAGAACCUGAAUGGAUGGCAGGAGGGUUUGCAUGGAUAAGCAAGGAGAGCGUGACUGAACUAAAGCAUGAAAAGGAAGCAUACAAGAGGUUAUCCAGAGGACAGAGAGGAAGACCUUCAGCCUUCCUCCUAGAAGACCCCUGAAGAGACCAGAAGACCCCAUAGCAAUAAUGGGAGAAUGUGCUGUGCAGUAGAGUGAUGUAGAUUUCAAGAA